ACCGCCAUUAGCUCAUCAGGAAAGAGCGCCAGCCUUCGAAGCUGGUUGCGCGGAGUUCGGGUCCCCGAAGGCGGUC
Molecule: transfer RNA, 76 nt
Filed under: Escherichia coli
Lineage: Bacteria; Pseudomonadati; Pseudomonadota; Gammaproteobacteria; Enterobacterales; Enterobacteriaceae
Description: tRNA-Arg
Rfam family: tRNA
About the family: Transfer RNA (tRNA) molecules are approximately 80 nucleotides in length. Their secondary structure includes four short double-helical elements and three loops (D, anti-codon, and T loops).
Source: RNAcentral